UAGCUGUGAACAACAAGUUAAACCUUCAGAUGGAGCAGUGGGAAGCAUGUACCAAGGAACAUCAGUUCAGGAAAAGGGACAGGAAUUUGGUGGCAUUCUGAUAUCCAAAAAUUAAUUGACUGGGCAAAAGACAUAAAUAUUGACCCAAAUGAUCCUUACUACUCAGAUUUGUUUGAGUUAAUUAUGUAUGCGCAAUCUCAGGAGAAAAGUGAUUCAAAACACUUUCGCCUUAAGCUACUGCAAGAAUUUAACCUUGCUAUUGAAGAACAUAUUGAAAAUUGCAAACGUUUCCGGCUGUUACAGCUUAGGAACUUAGGACAGUUGGGCUUCUACUGUUUUCAGCAAAUUCCUCUCUUUGACAAAGAAAUCCCAGACACAAUUUUUCAGGAACAUGGAGGCCAAUUGGAAAAGGACAUGUUUAUGACAGAUAUGGAUCCUAUUUCUGCACAAAGAAAUAGUUCUGCCAACUUUGUUAGGAUGGUAUGACAGUUUUUAAUAGAUUAGAAAAUGAAUGGUUGGAAACUACUGCAUUGAAAAUAAAAUAAUGUAGUAUUCCAUU
Non-coding RNA from Thamnophis sirtalis, 559 nucleotides. Lineage: Eukaryota; Metazoa; Chordata; Lepidosauria; Squamata; Natricidae. The record is from RefSeq and is a predicted model, not a curated record.